UUUAUCAAUAGGUGCGCAAGGGUCUUUCAAACCUCACCUCUCCUCUUGUUGGUUGCGCUAGACACCAAUGAGCCCUCCUCCAAAAACUACAAUGUUGGAAACAAUUUUGUGUGGCUCCACUUGCCGUACCUAGACCCACAUGCUGGCGCGAGUGAGUUUUUGGCUGCCAUUUUCUGUUUUUGUCAUUACUGGCCACCUCGACUGGUUGUAG
This 211-nucleotide unclassified non-coding RNA is filed under the name Hevea brasiliensis (rubber tree). The record is from RNAcentral. Lineage: Eukaryota; Viridiplantae; Streptophyta; Magnoliopsida; Malpighiales; Euphorbiaceae.